CAAGGGAAAAGUGUGAAAAUUCAAGGAAACAAGUGACAAAAGGUGGUGAGCAUUCUGACAAAAGUAAAGAGAUAGUACCCAAGGAUCAAGAAUCAGAGUACUCAAAAUUCAACUCCCGAAAUAGCUUAGGAUAAUCGGUAGAUAGCUCACUUUGUUGAGGGCUA
RNAcentral lists this small RNA (164 nucleotides) under Theobroma cacao (cacao). Its description in RNAcentral is "sRNA Tc03v2_g004840". Lineage: Eukaryota; Viridiplantae; Streptophyta; Magnoliopsida; Malvales; Malvaceae. The record is from RNAcentral.